RNAcentral lists this long non-coding RNA (679 nucleotides) under Oreochromis niloticus (Nile tilapia). Its description in RNAcentral is "lncRNA (ENSONIG00000030590.1)". The record is from RNAcentral. Lineage: Eukaryota; Metazoa; Chordata; Actinopteri; Cichliformes; Cichlidae.
GGGGAAAGGAAUUCCUUUCAGUGCAGUGACUCCUUGAUUCCUUUACCAGGCAUGCCCCCUGAAGCCCUCAUUUCCUGUUGGAAGUUGGCUGAAUUGGAUAAAGGACAUGGCUAGGGGCCUCUUGGGGCCUGGAUUAGGGCCUGCAAGAGCACACAGAGCCAGUCUGGACAUAUCUCCAUCCAUCAAAAAUCAAACCGACUCAAGGACCUAUUCAAUCCCAGCAGUGGAGAGGAAUAAUGUCCCAGCAGCUGAAGCAGAUGCUUUUCAUUUUCCUUCAAGGAACAUGAGAGGUGCCGUUGAACCAAAGGUACGGUUAAGCCACAGUCCCCGAGGGCCCGGAAGAUGGUUUGGCAGGGGAUCACGAAGAACAGGUCAACAUAAAGAGCGAGGGAAGGCGAUGCAAGGCAGACGGAAGAGUCAAAAGAAAGCCGGCGAAGUCUUUGAAUCCAGUGGAAUUCCUCUCCUCCUCCGUGGCUCCUCUGGGAGGCGUCAGGAGCCUGUGGAGAGAGCGAGACAUCAUCAGGACAUGACACUUCAGAGGUCAGAUGCACACGCUCCACCCGCAGCCAUCAUCCAGCUGACAACACCCCAAGUUUUUUUGGUAUGGCAGCUCCACACCGAACACUCCGAGACAAUGAAGACCAUUCACACAGAUUUCAGUCCGAGCAAGAUGACAUGA